UAAUGUCGNGAACUCCAGGGNGNCUNCCGGUGAUAAACCGGAGGAAGGUGGGGACGACGUCAAGUCAUCAUGGCCCUUACGAGUAGGGCUACACACGUGCUACAAUGGCGCAUACAGAGGGCAGCAAGCUAGCGAUAGUGAGCGAAUCCCAAAAAGUGCGUCGUAGUCCGGAUUGGAGUCUGCAACUCGACUCCAUGAAGUCGGAAUCGCUAGUAAUCGUGGAUCAGAAUGCCACGGUGAAUACGUUCCCGGGCCUUGUACACACCGCCNNUCACNNCAUGGGAGUGGGCUGCAAAAGAAGUAGGUAGUU
This 310-nucleotide ribosomal RNA is filed under the name Vibrio sp. HR09-59. Its description in RNAcentral is "partial 16S ribosomal RNA". It matches the Rfam family "Bacterial small subunit ribosomal RNA", at positions 1126 to 1435 of the family's 1533-position model. The record is from RNAcentral. Lineage: Bacteria; Pseudomonadati; Pseudomonadota; Gammaproteobacteria; Vibrionales; Vibrionaceae.